AGUACCCUCAAGCAAAGAGACCUUUAGUUUGAUACCCCGAAACCAGGUGAGCUACCCCGAGACAGCCUAUAAUAAUUUAGGGCUAACCCGUCUCUGUGGCAAAAGAGUGGGAAGAGCUCCGGGUAGAAGUGACAGACCUACCGAACCUGGUGAUAGCUGGUUGCCUAAGAAAUGGAUAGAAGUUCAGCCUCGCACACCCCUAAUCAAAGUACACAUCAACAAGAUACUAAGGGAAAGGUACGAGAGUUAGUUGAAGGGGGUACAGCCCCUUUAACAGAGGACACAACCUUCACAGGAGGAUAAAGAUCAUAAUAUGCAAAACAUACUGUUCUAGUGG
Molecule: ribosomal RNA, 337 nt
Filed under: Campostoma anomalum (central stoneroller)
Lineage: Eukaryota; Metazoa; Chordata; Actinopteri; Cypriniformes; Leuciscidae
Description: partial 16S ribosomal RNA
Rfam family: Bacterial large subunit ribosomal RNA
Source: RNAcentral